GACGAACGCUGGCGGCGUGCCUAAUACAUGCAAGUCGAACGCAUUUUCUUUCACCGUAGCUUGCUACACCGACAGAAAAUGAGUGGCGAACGGGUGAGUAACACGUGGGUAACCUGCCCAUCAGCGGGGGAUAACACUUGGAAACAGGUGCUAAUACCGCAUAAUUCCAUUUACCGCAUGGUAGAUGGAUGAAAGGCGCUUUUGCGUCACUGAUGGAUGGACCCGCGGUGCAUUAGCUAGUUGGUGGGGUAACGGCCUACCAAGGCUGCGAUGCAUAGCCGACCUGAGAGGGUGAUCGGCCACACUGGGACUGAGACACGGCCCAGACUCCUACGGGAGGCAGCAGUAGGGAAUCUUCGGCAAUGGACACAAGUCUGACCGAGCAACGCCGCGUGAGUGAAGAAGGGUUUCGGAUCGUAAAACUCUGUUGUUAGAGAAGAACAAGGAUGAGAGUGGAAAGUUCAUCCCUUGACGGUAUCUAACCAGAAAGCCACGGCUAACUACGUG
RNAcentral lists this ribosomal RNA (507 nucleotides) under uncultured bacterium. RNAcentral's name for it is "partial 16S ribosomal RNA". It matches the Rfam family "Bacterial small subunit ribosomal RNA", at positions 28 to 507 of the family's 1533-position model. The record is from RNAcentral.